AUUGAACGCUGGCGGCAGGCCUAACACAUGCAAGUCGAGCGGAUGAAGGGAGCUUGCUCCUGGAUUCAGCGGCGGACGGGUGAGUAAUGCCUAGGAAUCUGCCUGGUAGUGGGGGAUAACGUCCGGACACGGGCGCUAAUACCGCAUACGUCCUGAGGGAGAAAGUGGGGGAUCUUCGGACCUCACGCUAUCAGAUGAGCCUAGGUCGGAUUAGCUAGUUGGUGGGGUAAAGGCCUACCAAGGCGACGAUCCGUAACUGGUCUGAGAGGAUGAGCAGUCACACUGGAACUGAGACACGGUCCAGACUCCUACGGGAGGCAGCAGUGGGGAAUAUUGGACAAUGGGCGAAAGCCUGAUCCAGCCAUGCCGCGUGUGUGAAGAAGGUCUUCGGAUUGUAAAGCACUUUAAGUUGGGAGGAAGGGCAGUAAGUUAAUACCUUGCUGUUUUGACGUUACCAACAGAAUAAGCACCGGCUAACUUCGUG
Molecule: ribosomal RNA, 484 nt
Filed under: uncultured bacterium
Lineage: Bacteria
Description: partial 16S ribosomal RNA
Rfam family: Bacterial small subunit ribosomal RNA
Source: RNAcentral